GACAGAGGGUGCGAACGUUGCUCGGAAUUACUGGGCGUAAAGCGUGUGCAGGCGGUCCCGUGCAUCGGAUGUGAAAGCCCGGGGCUCAACCCCGGAAGUGCACCCGAGAUGGCGGGACUGGAGUGGCGGAGAGGAGCGCGGAAUUCCCGGUGUAGAGGUGAAAUUCGUAGAUAUCGGGAGGAACACCAGCGGCGCAGGCGGCGCUCUGGACGCACACUGACGCUGAGACACGAAAGCGUGGGGAGCAAACAGG
RNAcentral lists this ribosomal RNA (253 nucleotides) under uncultured bacterium. Its description in RNAcentral is "partial 16S ribosomal RNA". It matches the Rfam family "Bacterial small subunit ribosomal RNA", at positions 524 to 776 of the family's 1533-position model. The record is from RNAcentral.